GCCGGAGUAGCUCAGCUGGCAGAGCGCGUGUCUUGUAAACACGAGGUCACGGGUUCGAUCCCCGUCUCCGGCU
This 73-nucleotide transfer RNA is filed under the name Solirubrobacterales bacterium. Its description in RNAcentral is "tRNA-Thr". It matches the Rfam family "tRNA". Rfam says of the family: Transfer RNA (tRNA) molecules are approximately 80 nucleotides in length. Their secondary structure includes four short double-helical elements and three loops (D, anti-codon, and T loops). Further hydrogen bonds mediate the characteristic L-shaped molecular structure. tRNAs have two regions of fundamental functional importance: the anti-codon, which is responsible for specific mRNA codon recognition, and the 3' end, to which the tRNAs corresponding amino acid is attached (by aminoacyl-tRNA synthetases). tRNAs cope with the degeneracy of the genetic code in two manners: having more than one tRNA (with a specific anti-codon) for a particular amino acid; and 'wobble' base-pairing, i.e. permitting non-standard base-pairing at the 3rd anti-codon position. Lineage: Bacteria; Bacillati; Actinomycetota; Thermoleophilia; Solirubrobacterales. The record is from RNAcentral.